AUUGAACGCUGGCGACAUGCCUUACACAUGCAAGUCGAACGGCAGCACGGGUGCUUGCCCCUGGUGGCGAGUGGCGAACGGGUGAGUAAUACAUCGGAACAUGUCCUGUAGUGGGGGAUAGCCCGGCGAAAGCCGGAUUAAUACCGCAUACGAUCUACGGAUGAAAGCGGGGGACCUUCGGGCCUCGCGCUAUAGGGUUGGCCGAUGGCUGAUUAGCUAGUUGGUGGGGUAAAGGCCUACCAAGGCGACGAUCAGUAGCUGGUCUGAGAGGACGACCAGCCACACUGGGACUGAGACACGGCCCAGACUCCUACGGGAGGCAGCAGUGGGGAAUUUUGGACAAUGGGCGAAAGCCUGAUCCUGCAAUGCCGCGUGUGUGAAGAAGGCCUUCGGGUUGUAAAGCACUUUUGUCCGGAAAGAAAUCCUUGGCCCUAAUACGGUCGGGGGAUGACGGUACCGGAAGAAUAAGCACCGGCUAACUACGUG
This 486-nucleotide ribosomal RNA is filed under the name uncultured bacterium. RNAcentral describes it as "partial 16S ribosomal RNA". It matches the Rfam family "Bacterial small subunit ribosomal RNA", at positions 30 to 507 of the family's 1533-position model. The record is from RNAcentral.